RNAcentral lists this ribosomal RNA (465 nucleotides) under uncultured bacterium. Its description in RNAcentral is "partial 16S ribosomal RNA". It matches the Rfam family "Bacterial small subunit ribosomal RNA", at positions 28 to 507 of the family's 1533-position model. The record is from RNAcentral.
GACGAACGCUGGCGGCGUGCUUAACACAUGCAAGUCGAACGGAAAGGCCCCCUUGUGGGGUACUCGAGUGGCGAACGGGUGAGUAACACGUGAGUAACCUACCCUUGACUUUGGGAUAACUUCAGGAAACUGGGGCUAAUACCGGAUAGGAGCUCCUGCUGCAUGGUGGGGGUUGGAAAGUUUCGGCGGUUGGGGAUGGGCCCGCGGCUUAUCAGCUUGUUGGUGGGGUAGUGGCUCACCAAGGCUUUGACGGGUAGCCGGCCUGAGAGGGUGACCGGCCACAUUGGGACUGAGAUACGGCCCAGACUCCUACGGGAGGCAGCAGUGGGGAAUAUUGCACAAUGGGCGGAAGCCUGAUGCAGCAACGCCGCGUGCGGGAUGACGGCCUUCGGGUUGUAAACCGCUUUCGCCUGUGACGAAGCGUGAGUGACGGUAAUGGGUAAAGAAGCACCGGCUAACUACGUG